AGUGAACGCUGGCGGUAGGCCUAACACAUGCAAGUCGAACGGCAGCACAGUAAGAGCUUGCUCUUACGGGUGGCGAGUGGCGGACGGGUGAGGAAUACAUCGGAAUCUACUUUUUCGUGGGGGAUAACGUAGGGAAACUUACGCUAAUACCGCAUACGACCUACGGGUGAAAGCAGGGGAUCUUCGGACCUUGCGCGAUUGAAUGAGCCGAUGUCGGAUUAGCUAGUUGGCGGGGUAAAGGCCCACCAAGGCGACGAUCCGUAGCUGGUCUGAGAGGAUGGUCAGCCACACUGGAACUGAGACACGGUCCAGACUCCUACGGGAGGCAGCAGUGGGGAAUAUUGGACAAUGGGCGCAAGCCGGAUCCAGCCAUACCGCGUGGGUGAAGAAGGCCUUCGGGUUGUAAAGCCCUUUUGUUGGGAAAGAAAAGCAGCAGGUUAAUACCCCGCUGUUCUGACGGUACCCAAAGAAUAAGCACCGGCUAACUUCGUG
Molecule: ribosomal RNA, 492 nt
Filed under: uncultured bacterium
Lineage: Bacteria
Description: partial 16S ribosomal RNA
Rfam family: Bacterial small subunit ribosomal RNA
Source: RNAcentral